UGCUAAUUAAUGUUGCUUUUGUUUACCCGAAAAAAAAAUGUUGCUUUUGUUUCUUCUGAAGUGACGUAUGUUUGCCGAUGCCUUGAGUGUAAUAAGACAUUAUGCAUCUUUCCGUCAUAAUGUCGGCCAUGUGUAAAGAAACAUAUCUGAAGUUUUUAUUUUACAGUUGCUAUUCAGGAAAAAUAAUUGUGUGUGGUUGCUGAGAUGUUGUUUUCUUAGGUGUCCUCCUGACCUAUGUUGUGGCAAGCUUUUAGCUAAUGCUUUGCCGAGAAAAGAUUUUCUGGAAAAGGAUUUUGUCCACCGGAAGCCUUAUUACUGUGUGAUUGAGAUCACCUUUAUCCUUUGUUGACAUAUUGUUUGUAUUGGCAUAUCUUGGCUUAGAGCACAAGUCUGAUAAUUUUGUAAAUUAGAAAGCCUGAUACACAUAUAUAACAUAUCUGUCUAUUUACUGGUUUGGAGGUCCAAUUAUUACCUUUGACAGAUGACUUGGUGGUAGGUUGAGACGGGAGGGGUCAGAAACAGCCAACCUCCAUUUUCAGAUCUCAGCAAUGGAACAAUGCUAACACUACUUUCACCUACCCCACAGCUGUACAGAGUGCUACAUUUACCAUGACUAGCAAGAUGCCCGUGCAUUGCACGGAGCGUCAAGAUGCAUUUUUUUUUUAUAAAACACAUGUUGUGAUUGACCCAUGCGGAAGUAAUCCCAUGUGUAAAAACUAAUGAUAUCUCGAGAAAGAGAAGAGAUAGGGUGAGGAGGAGUGUAAAAACCCAUGCGGCCACCAUGCCAGAUUGUUCCAGAGGUUUCCUUUUUUAAUUGCUCAACAAUGAGGUUGUGGGAGAUAAGGAUGAACAAGGGAAGGCCUUAUCUGCAAAUGUGGAGAGAGGUGCAGGUAUCUUUUUGCAAAAUUGCCAUAGUUUGCUUUCUAUCCGUCAGAUAUAGAUCAAACGGUCUAUCUUGCAAGAUGGCAGGCACACCAUCAUCACCAACUCGGUUUUUUAUAAGAGUAGAGACAAGCAUAUGGCACCAUGCAUAAACGAAAUGUAGGUCACCACAACAAUUAUAGU
Molecule: long non-coding RNA, 1065 nt
Filed under: Triticum aestivum (bread wheat)
Lineage: Eukaryota; Viridiplantae; Streptophyta; Magnoliopsida; Poales; Poaceae
Description: long non-coding RNA (TAES_LNC020387)
Source: RNAcentral